Anas platyrhynchos (mallard) is the source of this 7384-nucleotide non-coding RNA. The record is from RefSeq and is a predicted model, not a curated record. Lineage: Eukaryota; Metazoa; Chordata; Aves; Anseriformes; Anatidae.
UCCACAGCUGAAAAGCUGUACUGCAGCAACCAGAGGGGCAAUUCUCCAUCAGAGGCUCUGAAUGCCAGCCACCUGUAAACCUCUCUGCCCCACCUACAGCCUCAAGAUUCCUGCUCUCAGUAAUUCAGCGUGGCCAGAUACAUCCAGGAAAUGCUUGGCUCCUGUCCCCGGGGGACUUUGCCUCCCGGGCAGCAGGUAGAGCUGAUGCUGCCGUUUUUCCCCAGGGAUGGGCUCGCCCCAGCAGCCAGUGGAGGAGAAGCACCCAAAUCCUGCUUUGCUUCCAGCAAAGCCCAAGGGCAGCUGUACGCUUCCAUCUUCCUGCAUCUGGAGGUGCUGAGCUGAUUAAUCUGCUAUCAACCCCCCGUCCUACGGCUGCUGUGGCCAUGCCAGCACGUGGUGUGAAAGGCUCUGCUGUUCCCGGCGAUGGGCACCGCCGUGCCAGGUGUACGAUGCCCUCAUUAAGGGAGGAAUGCUUAUCUCCUGACCCGUGAUGAAGACCGUGGCGUGCCCUUGGUUGUGUCUCGGUCCACGCGCCAGGCUUUUGGCCCGAACACGGUCAUCUGAGGAUACGUGAUUAGAUAGCAAGAAGCAAGGAGCAGGUUUGUUCAGCUGACAUCUCCGUUGACAUCUCCGGGCUUUCAUCAGCGCGCCGGCAUCACCGUAAGGCACAGGGGCUUCCUGACUCAGCACCCAAGGAAAGCCCUCUUCUCCUGUUUAUGAUCAGGAUGCGAAAGUAAAGGAAGCUGAAAUGCUGCUCAGGAAUCCACUCCGGGCUUUAAUCGCUACUGUCACUGCUAGAAGGCUUGGGGAAUGCUGAAAAAUAAUCACCAUCGCUGUGUAAUAGGAUGCAGAUGUUCAGGUUGUAAUCCAUCCAGACACCAUGACCUCCUGGCUACUGGAAGAUGAGCCCUCGUCAAAACUCCGGAGCUGAAAAACGUCGCUGCCACGAAGCCUCCAGGAAAUGGGGAGCGGCUUCGUGCGUGGUUGUUGGAUGCACAGCGGCUGUAACCGGGAUUUUGUCAGGGGCAGAGCGCAGCUACCUGCUGAUGGGUGGGACAGCCACGCUGCCAUCUCCUCGUGGUGGCCUCCUGAGCCCAGAUGUGCCACCGCUGCAUGGGGACACCGGGCUGAACCGCCCCAGAUCGCAGCCCACGCUGACCCCCUUUCAGGUUUGAAGACGCGUGGGUCUGAAGCGCACUCUCCACGGCUGCCUGUGGUCUUUCAAGCCUGUGUCAAGUUAGGGGGGAGCCCUGCUUCGGGGUGUUAGUCCCUGGCUGUCAUCCCCACCUGGGCAGGUGCACCGGGGGACCUGAGCCCCUCUGCCGUGGCUGUCACACCACCAGCAGCCCCAGCACAGCAGCACGGGCACCCUCCAUGCACACACCCCACCAGCACAGGCAGCUCCAGCAAAUCCCAAAAUAGCAGAGUUAGAUAAAUACACAGAAAAGAGUUUAUAAAUUUCCAAGUGGGUGACAAACAGCACUGCUCGCUGAGGAGGGGAGCUUUUUUUAACCUUUUUUUUUUUUUUCCUGCCCACAGAUUCUUUCCCUGCGCAAAGCAGAAGAUAGUUUACUUCUAAAGCAAAGUGGCCUGAAACUUGAAGGCUUUUUGACCAGCAGAGAGAGAAAGAAAGAUUUUUUUUGUGGCUUGCAAGAGAGCAAACAGCCUGAGCCUCAAGUUUGCUUUUUUUUACAGAUCCAUGCCUGCUGAGAGCCUGAGCAAGUAGCUCUUUAGGAAGCACAGAGGAGCAGAGCACAUGGUAUUACUGGAGCAGGGAGCAGGUAACCGAGAUGUCUGCUUUUUCUCCAGCUCUCCUGAUUUUUUUCUGCGUGAGCUGAGCAAAGCACGGUGCUUUGACACACCUGUGUGGACACAGGUAAUGGCACUGCCUUCACUGGAGCCAGUGGGGCACGUCCACCUGCCAUUAACUUUUGGCAGCCUCUGGAAAACCUCUACACACAGUGAGCUUUUAAAUCAGUGUGUUUUUGGUCACAUCUGGUCCCUGCCCUGUAUUUUCUUAGGAGGUUUCUCUUUGCCGUGCAGUGAUGGAUGCAGAAGGCUUUGCAUCUGUGCUGCUGGGGCUGGGCGAGGGUCUGCUGGGGCAGUGCCUGUCUUUGGGGGACCCCAGGUGGGUGUAGCAGGGACAGACAUUGGGCAGGGCAGGAUAUUUCCCCCUCUGCCCAGGCUCCCAGAAGGAUGCAGCUGAGACUGGGGCAGUGGGUGAUGAGACUGGAGCAUCCCCAGGGACACCCAGAGCCACCCAAUGCAUGGGGCGUACCGGAGACCCUGGCGGUGCCCCUUUAUGAAAGGAGCAUUGUUAUCCCACGGAAAUGACUUCUGGAUUCCCAAAGCCUUCAUUCGAAAUGAAACGAAAACAACACAAGCAGGUGGGGACAGCGAGGGCAGCAGCAGGUCUCCUCCCUCCGCUUGCAUGUAUUUUCCCCUCAGGAAAAAAAUAAAAUAAAAAAAUGAAAAGACCUUAAAAUGACCAGAAGAGAAAGAAAACAGUUGGGCUGGUUUCAAACUGCUGAACAGGAAGCAGAAAACCACUGCAAGUCUGAAGCAUAUUAUUUGAUAUUUAAAAAAAAAAACAACUAAACAACAUCAUCUCGCUAGGGCUCUCCUCUUUCUGCUUUCUCUCCCGUUCGUUUCUGGCUUUUUUCAAGCACCUCUCUUCGCUGUCACCACGUGGGAAGGCUGCAUGAACUCUGUUUCAUCUGUCUUUUGGUAGGGCAGCGCAAACAAACUGGGGAAAAAAAAAAAAAAAGGAAAUCAGUUGAUCUGGUCACUCUGCUUGCUUUUUAGAGCCCGUAGCUCUCUGCUUGGACCUAGAGCAAGGAUUUUCCCAGCCAGGCUUUGUGGUAGCGGCAUGGUGUGUACUCCCAUUCCCUCCUCUACUGUACAGCCCCUGCCAAACAGGGCUCACGUUAAACACUUGUGACAGUUGCGGGGUAAUUCUGAGCCUUUCCAAGCCAGAGACAAGGACUUUGUUUCCCAGCAGACUCGAAUGUUUCAUCGGGGGCUGGAUAAUCACAGUGCGGAGGAGGAUGCUAAAAGCAGGGCUGUGUUCAGGAAUCGCGUAUUCCCGUAGCAUCCUUCACGCAGGAAAAUCCCCAAAUCCUGCCAAAGGGCAUGCUGGUAAUGCAGCCACGACAGUGGGCACCAAGUGCCACCGGCCAGCUCCUCCCUCAAACCCCCAGCAAAGCCUCGGGGGAAACCUCCCCGGGUACCCCAGCACCUGCUCUCCACACUUUUGGGAUCCUCAGGCCCCGUUCCCAGCCCCUUUGAGCAACCCCAAGCGGGGCCGUGGAUGUGCCAGCCCGCUCCCAGGAGGACGGAGGCUUCACACCGCAGGCAGACACGCUGUCUCCUCCGGCUAAUUGCAGCCUUGUGCGGGGCUGGGGAGGGAGCUGGCUCCCCACCAGCACUCCUCAAUCCACGGGGGCUGUCAGCCAGACCUUCUCCAGAUCCUGGCUGCUCCUCUGGCGAGCUGGCUGGGGGAACAGGCUGCUUUCUCAGCCCUCUGCACGCCUCACGAAGCAGCGAGUGGCCAUAAAGGAGGGACUCGCUUGGUUAAUCUCUGCCUCUCUCCUUCUGGUUUUGCCCAGCACUCUGUGGGUUUGCUACGCAAGGGGACAACGUGCUGCUUUGUCACUGGAGGUGGCAGGUCCUGAAGGUCUCCAGACGGCCGGCCUGGUUUGUUAUUGCAGGUUUGUUAUUGCAGGCUGCCCACGAGCGUCCCUCGGUGCCCACCUGCCUGUUGCACGACAGCGGCGGUCUGGUGACGGCUGAGUCACCGGCACCCAUCUCCCACAUCUUCCUCUUUCCUCCCCACCUCCUGACGGCCAUCGCAAGCGUUGUUUUGGAGGAGAAGGAAGCACGCAGGCGUCUGCAAGCCAAGGGCCUCUUUGGGUUUCUCUGCAUGCCCCGACUCCUUCUAAGCACGUGUGUGCAUGCGCAUGCUGUGGGCACCAGCCCCAUAAAAGAAAAAAAAAACACCCUCUUUUGAUUUCUUUUGGCUCUGAGAGAAAGAGGAAGGGCCAAAGCGACCAUCAGGCUGCAAUCUGGUCACUUUGUGACAUUUUGGCCAGACGCAGCCAAACAGAAAAGCCUGGUUCCUCAGCUCCAGAAAGCCCUGGGUCCGGGACAAAAGCCCUGAAACAAUGGCCCGGCUUCCCAGCAGCCGGGAACCGAAGGAUGCACGUGUGGAGGCCGUCAAGCAUCCAGGAUUAAUGACAGCCAGAGGAAGCUGCUCGCCGGCUGCACCGCCGUGGGACUCGGCAACACAAUAGCACGCAGGCCCCUCUGCUUUUUCUCAGGGCCUAGGUAAAUAAUCCCCUUCCAUAGAAGCCCGAUCGGUUCCCAUCAGGCUGAACAGCAGAAAGCCAUUCCCAGGCUCAUGGGCAGUAAUCAUUGUUUCCCAGGCCACGUAAUUAUUAUUUUGACUGUAAGAAACCUUGGAGAGACGGCGCACAGACAGUGUUUUCCUGAUCGGCUCGUGGGGAGCAAUUUCACUCGGCUUAAAGCAAGCUGGCCCCACGGCAGCAAGCCCGGGACAGGGCCCCUCUCCAAAUAUCUUGCAUGGCUCGUGAAGAUGAAAACAUCGAUGGGUGUUCAUUUGCAGGAGGACAGGAGCCCCGGCAGCUCCGGCAUGUGUGGCUGGUGCAGAGAACCAGUUGGAUCACGCUUCUCAGUUACAAGGCAAUUAAUUUUCGUGGCUGAAGAAAAACCAUACUGCGGGCAAAAUCCUGCCCCGGCAGGUCGCAGCUCUUCUCCUGGCAGCGGGGUGGUGCCAGCCCUAGGCGUCACCCCCCUGUGAGAUGGGGCACAUGCCGGCGAGCCCGUGCAAAGGAGCAGGAUGCGAGCGCUGCCACGAGCACGUGCCAGCACAGCAGGGCUGCCUGAGCCAAGCCCUGCCCUUGGGAGCAGGCACGGCAUGGCACGGCACGGCAUGCUCACCUGUACGGUGAGGUUUGCAGGCUGCACAUUGCCUGGCUCCUUCCCCGGGGUUGGGUUAGCCCCUGCUCAGCCCGGGGAUAACUCCUGAGUUUGCAUCAGCUAGGGCAGAAGGCAGGGUAAAAUGCAGUGAGAGCGUGGCUGGCUUGGCUUUGGGCACUUAGGGGUGAUUCUUCCAACGAGUGCAGGGUUGACAGCAUCUCUGUGGGUGGCUUUUUUUUUUUUUUUGGUGGCUUUUCAGACCUGGUGAGGUCUGGGUUGUUCCAUUUACCUCAAAAGGCUGCAGCAUCCCAGCUGGGUUUCCUGAGCCUGAUACUUCACAGUGGCAAAAUGCUCCUGCAUGGCUCACGUGGCUUGAAAAGCACCAGAGCUUCAGCAUUGCUUUCCUGAGACAUGGAUGGAGCCUGCCUUAGCCUGACAUCGUCAGUGCCAUCCCUUAUUGUCUGGGUCCAUCUGUUCUUCGUGGGAGGGAUGGACAGGGAGCACAACAGCCCGGAGGCAGACAGUCACUCGAGUGUCCCCUUACCAAAAGGGUUUCACCUCCUCCACGUUGUGUAACCGCUUCACAGUGCCAGCACCAAUUCUGUCAGGCUCAGGUUGGGCUCAGGUUACACGGGAGGAUUGCAGGAGCCGUCUGGAACCGAGGAGCUGCUGCUAAAGGGCACGGCCACCCGGCUACCGCCCCAGAGGGUCUGCUUGUAGCAGCACGGCCGCCAAACCCACCAGCACAAAGCAAAGGCCAGGAGGGAUUGCUUGGGGCAGGGCUGUGGUGCAGGCAGCCCAGGCAGAGCGGUGGCAGUGCCUUGCCUGAGGUCGCACUCGGAGCCGCCUCCUGCAGCCUCCUCCGCUGCAUUAGGACUAAUGUGCUUUUGGCCACGGGCCCGUUUCAAGGUAGUUCCUGAUGGCUGUUGUUUUCGGAGCCGCUCUUCGGAGGGAAGAAAUGUUGGCUGCUCCGCCUGCGGGUCUGAGUAAACUCUUCUCUUGCUUAAAAACUCGUUGUUGUGGGCGAGCACACGAUUGCGCUCAGGCUUUUGGGAGCUGCAGCUCCCAAAAGAUCCUCCAGCUGAACCAGCCGCAGGAGGGGUCACACCACACCAUCUGACAAGGACCAUGUCUCAGAUUGGGGCAGACACCCAUGAUCUUCAGCUCCUGGCAGCCAAAACGAAGCAUGGAGGUGGUGCCACAGGGGACUGGCACUGUUUGAUCUCUGAUGGCUGUGUCCAUGCCCCACCAAGGAGCUUGGCCACACUGAACGGUCAGAAGUGGUGUGGGAUCCUGCCUGCUCUCAGAACAAUAACAUCCCCGCUGCCUUCAUCCGCUGUCAUGUUUGAGCCAUUGUAUCUGCUGACAAUAAGUUGUGGGGAGAGCUGAGGCACUUCCAAAAAGCAGUCCUCGGGGCCAAUGCUCUAGCUCUUUGUCUGGUACCCGUGUGAGGCAGCACCGCAAAUGUCUGUUCAGAGCCCUGAGUGGCAGCAGGGGUGGAUGCUGGAGACCAGGGGAUGAGAGGCAGAAGAGGGGGUGAGUGGAAAGAUGGAGCUUGUUUUCCAAGCUCUUGUUUUCCUCUCUCUGACAGUGCUCCCCUACUGUAGUAUUUUUGUCGAGACAACCUGUUUAUAUUUCCUUUCUGUUCUGCUUCUCUCUUUGGGCUUCAUAGAAGAAAAAAAAAAAAAAAAAAAAGGAAUGGAUGCAAUGGAAAAAUGAAGUGAGAACAGAAAUGCUCCUAGGUCACCCUCUUUUUCGUUUCCACUGCGCUUGCCAAGCACAGCCCGUUUUGGUCUCUGCUAACAAUGCUCCGUGCUGCAGGACGGCAUGCUCCAGCCCUCUGGCACAGGAGCUGAAGCAGAACCUCCUGGGAGCCCCCAGGGACAUGCAGCAGCCACCACCAGGCUCUUACCGUGAGGCCAAAGCUGCCUGGCGUCACUGUCACCAGAUGCAUACGUCGGGACGCUGGAAAGGGUCACAAAUGGCCGAGGAGGACGCCACGUCCUGCAUCUGAGCCAUCCGCCAGCUCCAUCCCUGAGUGCAUGAGAAAUGCCACGGUGGUGAUGGCAAGCCCCUGGGGGUUUAUGGAACAGCCUCUUGUCAUUAAUCAAAAAGAUAUCUUUUUCUUUUUCUUUUUUUUCCCUCUGCCUGCCCGCUGUCCUCUCCUUUCUGAAUGGUGUGCUUUUCAGUCUGUCCCAAAGAAGAGCUUCAAAGCAGAGAUUGCAGCCUGGGAGAGUAAGCUAAGGUGGAGCCCAGGUGAUACCUCGUCCAGAUGCCUAGUCCCUCAUGCUCUUCCCGAGGGAAAGGUUUUGCUUGCUUUUAGAAAACAUUGCAGGACCUGGUUCCUUCCACAGUCCUCCCUUUAGCCAUGGCUAUAGAGCAAAUGGAGGAUGUUUUCCUUCCUGGAAUAUCGAUUUAAUUCUUGAAUAAACUAUGGGUCAGUCUA